This 378-nucleotide ribosomal RNA is filed under the name uncultured bacterium. Its description in RNAcentral is "bacterial SSU rRNA". It matches the Rfam family "Bacterial small subunit ribosomal RNA", at positions 426 to 793 of the family's 1533-position model. The record is from RNAcentral.
UACUUUCAGUCAGUGUAGGAAGGUGGGUAUGUUAACUAGCAUACUUCAUUUUGACGUUUAGCUGCAGAAGUAAGCUACCGGCUAACUCCGUUGCCAGCAGCCGCGGUAAUACGGAGGGUGCGAGCGUUAAUCGGAAUUACUGGGCGUAAAGCGCAUGCAGGUGGUUUGUUAAGUCAGAUGUGAAAGCCCGGGGCUCAACCUCGGAAUUGCAUUUGAAACUGGCAAACUAGAGUACUGUAGAGGGGGUAGAAUUUCAGGUGUAGCGGUGAAAUGCGUAGAGAUCUGAAGGAAUACCGGUGGCGAAGGCGGCCCCCUGGACAGAUACUGACACUCAGAUGCGAAAGCGUGGGGAGCAAACAGGAUUAGAUACCCUGGUAG